RNAcentral lists this long non-coding RNA (3936 nucleotides) under Malus domestica (apple). RNAcentral describes it as "long non-coding RNA (MDOM_LNC008213)". Lineage: Eukaryota; Viridiplantae; Streptophyta; Magnoliopsida; Rosales; Rosaceae. The record is from RNAcentral.
AGACACACUAAAGUAAAGGGGGAUUGAGUUUUGGACGAAGUUGAAACAAACAAACAAGUACGAAAAACUAGAUAGAUUGUAAAACAAAUUUGAGAAAUAAGAUGAUGGAUGGGAUAGCUAGAGGCUUUUUCUCCACACAUGACAUGUAUGCAAAUAACUCGAUUUCCAGUUACUACUUUAUUAAAUUAUGAACAACAAUGCUCCAAAUUAACCGUGACAUCACUAGUUAACUCUCAGAUUUUCCUUGUUUUAUUGGAUUGGAUGACAUCAUUCUACAACCCAAAACAUUCUUCAAAAGUUCCCUACAUGACAUCAUAAUAGAGAUACAAUCAAAGAUCAUUACAUUUAAUGAAAAUCAUAAGCAUUGACAAAGCACUUGCAACUAUGACAUCAUAUCGCUUAUGCUAGGAAUUGAACUUAACACGAUCGUUUAUAAGCGACCUUCACUACAUGUGAAUAUAAGUUUGUAACGAUUAUGUGAAACUUCCUUAUAUUCUAGCAACGGAUUUAUGCAUGCCAAUUAAGUGUCGACCCUUAAUUAACAAAUACAAAAUAAGUUAUAAAUCAAAUAGUUAAGCCAAUUGCAUUCACGAUUCAAGAGUUCAUAACUGGAAUUUAUCAAAUUAUAUUGCACACAUAAUCAUGGCUUUGAAAUCACCCCUAGCCAAGAGGGGUUUAGCCACUCAUAUUUACAACAAAACGAAAGGAAAUGAAUUUAAACAUUAUACACAAAAGAAAGAAAACACCUAAACGCUCCAACGAUCCAAGUUGGACAGCAAGCACGUCUAAGCACUUUUCUUCCCUUCCUUUGCUACGACACAAGGUUUUGGUGAGUGUUUGAAGGUUUGUUUGUAUGGAGGAAUGGAUGUGAAGAUGAAUGGAUGUGUUUGGAUGAAGGUUGUGUUGAAAUGGGAGUGAAUGAUCUAACCAAGUAUGAACUCCAUUUAUGUUACACACACUUCCUUUUAUAGAGGAAGUGCAAGGCAAAGCAUGGGUAAAAUGGAGUGGUGUUGAAAUGAUUCAAAGGUGAAAGUGGAGUAAUGAUGCAAAACAUGGGUAAAAUGGAGUGGUGUUGAAAUGAUUCAAAGGUGAAAGUGAAGUAAUGAUGCAAAGCAUGAGGGGUAAAAUGGUGUGGUGUUGAAAUGAUUCAAAGGUGAAAGUGAAGUAAUGAUGCAAAGCAUGAGUAAAAUGGAGUGGUGUUGAAAUGAUUCCAAUGUGAAAGUGAAGUAAUGAUGCAAAGCAUGGGUAAAAUGGAGUGGUGUUGAAAUGAUUCAAAGGUGAAAGUGAAGUAAUGAUGCAAAGCAUGAGGGGUAAAAUGGAGUGGUGUUGAAAUGAUUCAAAGGUGAAAGUGAAGUAAUGAUGCAAAGCAUGAGUAAAAUGGAGUGGUGUUGAAAUGAUUCAAAGGUGAAAGUGAAGUAAUGAUGCAAAGCAUGGGUAAAAUGGAGUGGUGUUGAAAUGAGUCAAGGGUUAAGGUGGAGUGAUGAUUGAUGCAAGAAAUUUGGAAUGAUGGAGGGAACAAGGGUGGUGCAAGGUAAUGAGUGAAUGAAAUAGACAAGGAAUGUUGUUGGAACUUAGGGACAUUGAGGAUUAGGAAAGAUUAAAUCAAAAUAAGGUAAUCUUGACUCAUGUUUCUUCUUUGGUUGCUGAGCUCUUUGUCCUUUUUAAAUUAAUUCUUCUUUCUCUUUAACACAUUCCUAGCCUCUUUAGUCUUCAAUUUCGUCCAUCUACUUAGCUCCAAGGAUGUGUUAUUUAUUCCAAGCCCAAAACUGCUCCAAAAGGCUUCAAAAUGCACCUUCUUGCAUACUUUGUCCUUAGAACCUGAAAUUGCACGAAAAUGACUUUAAACACUAAAACAACUAAGGAAUAACAACAUAAAUGCAUGAGAACAAGCUAACUCAGUCGCAUAAAUAUGCUCCUAUCACACACCUCGACCCAGGAUGUCCACUAGGAAUCCGAAUCAAGUUAUGCUGGCCGACACCUGGAAGGUGACGAAGCCAUAAAUUGUGAUGAUGCGGAAAAAUGUGAAUAAAUUUAAAUCUAAGAGUGCCUAAAAACCAGAGUGCGUUGGUGAGCAGGAAUGAACCCACUUCACACGUGACGUUAGAGCAUAAGUAAGUACAGUAUAGUGGAUUGAGAAUAAUACCAUUAAAAGAAAUCUCCAAUACUAAAAUUUGUCAUGAAUCCUCAUCGAUAAGAAAGCUCAGCUAAUAAAACCUGGAGAGUGAAAACAAAACAAGGGUGAGUGGCCCUGGAAAUAAAAUCUUAAUAGAAGUCUUCUAAAACGUUAUAACCCCUCGCUGCAACACCUGUAUAGUUUCCAGAAAAAUCAUACCACGUAUCAAUGUGAAAUCCAAAGUAUAUCAACAGUAAAUCCAUAAAUAUACCACGACACAGCAUCUUAUCAGCAAUAUAAAUAAUCAUGUGAUCAAUAAUCUAUAUUAGCACGUAAGUCGGAGUCACCUAAUGUGACCUGUACGACUGAACCUAUAGCUCAUCAAUCAAUGCUAGCACAUAAGUCGGAGUCACCUAUAGUGACAUGUACGACUCCUCCACAUCUCAUCAAUCAAUGCUAGCACAUAAGUCGGAGUCACCUAUAGUGACUUGUACGACUCAUAUCAGAGUUGCCUAUAUAGCUCAUCUACCAAUUCCUGCACACGAGUCGGAACCACUUAAUGUGGCAUGUACAAUAGGCUGGGUGUAAAUAAAUACACUCAAGUGCUACGAUCACGUGAAGCUGUGCAAAGAUUCGCAAGUCACCUACGAGUCGAAACCACCUAAUGUGGUUUGUACGACAGGCUAACACCUGCCUUGGAUCCAAUGUGAGCGUGUGGUGCAGGAGGUGAAUGAUCACGUGAAGGCUAGGCCCUGCCUCGGGUGGAGCACUAACACCAGGGUGCAAGACAAUGAGCUAUAAAUACAUCUCAACACAAUCAUACUCACUACCAUUAAUAUACUCACUUGAAGCUUAUCGGGCCAUCUGCAGCGUCAUAUGGCAUAACCACUUUAACGUCCCAACAUUCUUAAUCAGAACUAAACCCAGUGAUAGACCAGAAUAAAAUCAUGGUUAAUCUCUACACUGUUAAUCAUCAUAACUUCUUUCCUUAAAGAAACCAAGUACCCUAUUAAAUUUGGAUUGUUUUAUGACUGCAUAUAAUUGUCUUGUUAGACUGCCUAUGUACCAUCAAAUGGGAUCAAACCAUUCGUAGUUCAACUUAGUACGUCAAAGCAUUCACAGUCAUUAUAUGUAGGUAAUAUGCAUAUAGAUAUGCCAUAAUGCAAUCUAACACUCAACCAUAUCCUAGUAUCUUAGACUAUAUAAAUAUAUGUAUGACAUUGCAUAAAUAUACAUAAAUCAAAUUAAAAGCGUUUGCAGAAUUAUCAAUCAUAUAUAUAUAUACGAUAAAAGGAAAAGACCCACUCACCUCAGGUCCGUGCUAUGACUCCCUAGCACGAAUAUCAAGACAUCACGAAUCAUCGUCGCCUAGAACAAUUAUCAAAUCACGUCUCAGAGUUUAUAACAAUAGAACACAUAAUUUAUGUAAAACACAUCCCUACGUAAUUCAAUCCGGAAGAUCCGCAACACUCAAAUCCGAGAAAGGCUCCAAUUUCACUCAAACCCGCCGGAACCCUAAAAUGGGUGAACUUCGAUUCUCCUUCCUCAGUGUUCCAACGCCCCUACAACCAGUUGGGUCUUGUUCCUGGGUCCAAGGGGAGUUAGUUAAGGGUGGUGGUGGGUGGUGAAACUCGCCAGAUUGAAGGAAUCAUCGUCGAAACCUCACGGGUCACCCCCACGGUUUUACACGGUUUUGGCCUAAAAAAUCUUCAAAUUUAGAUGGAGAUAGAAGAUGGGGUAUUGUGGAAUAGGUUGCAGGUGAGGGACGGGUCAAAAUCACCUGAAAAUUGGUGGAAAUGGCCGGAAUCAGAACCGGGUCGCCG